AGCCGGUCUCAGUUCGGAUUGCAGGCUGCAACUCGCCUGCAUGAAGUCGGAAUUGCUAGUAAUCGCGGAUCAGCAUGCCGCGGUGAAUACGUUCCCGGGUCUUGUACACACCGCCCGUCACACCACGAGAGUUUACAACACCCGAAGUCGGUGGGGUAACCCGCAAGGGAGCCAGCCGCCGAAGGUGGGGUAGAUGAUUGGGGUGAAGUCGUAACAAGGUAGCCGUAUCGGAAGGUGCGGCUGGAUCACCUCCUUUCUAUGGAG
This 264-nucleotide ribosomal RNA is filed under the name Paenibacillus piri. RNAcentral's name for it is "Paenibacillus sp. MS74 partial 16S ribosomal RNA". It matches the Rfam family "Bacterial small subunit ribosomal RNA", at positions 1280 to 1533 of the family's 1533-position model. Lineage: Bacteria; Bacillati; Bacillota; Bacilli; Caryophanales; Paenibacillaceae. The record is from RNAcentral.